UACAGAGGGUGCAAACGUUGCUCGGAAUUAUUGGGCGUAAAGCGCGUGUAGGCGGCUUGUUAAGUUGGUUGUGAAAACCCAUGGCUCAACCAUGGAAGGGCGUCCAAAACUGGCAAGCUAGAGUCCCGACGAGGAUGGCGGAAUUCCCAGUGUAGAGGUGAAAUUCGUAGAUAUUGGGAGGAACACCAGUGGCGAAGGCGGCCAUCUGGGAGGGCACUGACGCUGAGACGCGAAAGCGUGGGGAGCAAACAGG
This 253-nucleotide ribosomal RNA is filed under the name uncultured bacterium. RNAcentral's name for it is "partial 16S ribosomal RNA". It matches the Rfam family "Bacterial small subunit ribosomal RNA", at positions 524 to 776 of the family's 1533-position model. The record is from RNAcentral.